Molecule: non-coding RNA, 21 nt
Filed under: Arabidopsis thaliana (thale cress)
Lineage: Eukaryota; Viridiplantae; Streptophyta; Magnoliopsida; Brassicales; Brassicaceae
Source: RNAcentral
CACGUCUGCCUGGGUGUCACA